This 530-nucleotide ribosomal RNA is filed under the name Bruchidius nigricornis. Its description in RNAcentral is "partial 16S ribosomal RNA". It matches the Rfam family "Bacterial large subunit ribosomal RNA", at positions 1807 to 2608 of the family's 2925-position model. Lineage: Eukaryota; Metazoa; Arthropoda; Insecta; Coleoptera; Chrysomelidae. The record is from RNAcentral.
UCAAAAACAUGUCCUAUUGAAUAUAAUUUUAGGUUUGACCUGCCCCCUGAAUUUUAAAUGGCCGCGGUAUUUUGACCGUGCUAAGGUAGCAUAAUAAUUAGUUUCUUAAUUAGAAGCUGGUAUGAAUGGUUUUAUGAAAAAGUAACUGUCUCUAUUUAAUUUUAAUUGAAUUUUAUUUUUGAGUAAAAAAGCUUAAAUAAUUUUGAAAGACGAGAAGACCCUAUAGAGUUUUAUAAUAAAAUAUUUUAUAAUUUUUUAGAAUUUUAAAUUUUUAAAUUAUAUUUUUAUUUAAUUGGGGUGAUUGAAAAAUUUAAUGAACUUUUUUUAUUUAUUUUACAUUAAUUUAUGAAAUAUUGAUCCAUUUUUUAUGAUUAAAAGAUUAAAUUACCUUAGGGAUAACAGCGUAAUUUUUUCAAAGAGUUCUUAUCGAAGAAAAAGAUUGCGACCUCGAUGUUGGAUUAAAAAUAAUUUUUGGUGUAGAAGCUAAAUAAAUUAGGUCUGUUCGACCUUUAAAAUUUUACAUGAUCUGA